This 877-nucleotide ribosomal RNA is filed under the name uncultured bacterium. Its description in RNAcentral is "bacterial SSU rRNA". It matches the Rfam family "Bacterial small subunit ribosomal RNA", at positions 67 to 924 of the family's 1533-position model. The record is from RNAcentral.
AGAUUUACUUCGGUAAUGACGUUGGGACAGUGAGCGGCGGAUGGGUGAGUAACACGUGGGGAACCUGCCCCUAAGUCUGGUAUACCAUUUGGAAACAGGUGCUAAUACCGGAUAAUAAAGCGGAUCGCAUGAUCAGCUUUUGAAAGGCGGCGUAAGCUGUCGCUAAGGGAUGGCCCCGCGGUGCAUUAGCUAGUUGGUAAGGUAACGGCUUACCAAGGCGACGAUGCAUAGCCGAGUUGAGAGACUGAUCGGCCACAUUGGGACUGAGACACGGCCCAAACUCCUACGGGAGGCAGCAGUAGGGAAUCUUCCACAAUGGACGCAAGUCUGAUGGAGCAACGCCGCGUGAGUGAAGAAGGUUUUCGGAUCGUAAAGCUCUGUUGUUGGUGAAGAAGGAUAGAGGUAGUAACUGGCCUUUAUUUGACGGUAAUCAACCAGAAAGUCACGGCUAACUACGUGCCAGCAGCCGCGGUAAUACGUAGGUGGCAAGCGUUGUCCGGAUUUAUUGGGCGUAAAGCGAGCGCAGGCGGUAAAAUAAGUCUAAUGUGAAAGCCCUCGGCUUAACCGAGGAACUGCAUCGGAAACUGUUUUUCUUGAGUGCAGAAGAGGAGAGUGGAACUCCAUGUGUAGCGGUGGAAUGCGUAGAUAUAUGGAAGAACACCAGUGGCGAAGGCGGCUCUCUGGUCUGCAACUGACGCUGAGGCUCGAAAGCAUGGGUAGCGAACAGGAUUAGAUACCCUGGUAGUCCAUGCCGUAAACGAUGAGUGCUAAGUGUUGGGAGGUUUCCGCCUCUCAGUGCUGCAGCUAACGCAUUAAGCACUCCGCCUGGGGAGUACGACCGCAAGGUUGAAACUCAAAGGAAUUGACGGGGGCCCGC